UGAACGUCGAUCAUUUCUAAAUAACUUAAAGAUGCGUAAUGUAAUUAACAAUAUCGAUAAUGUCCAUGUAAUAUACAUAUGUUACGGUAUGAACUGAUUGCAAGGGCAAAGUAAUUAUCAUAAAAUGAAGACCUCGAAAUAUACGAAUAAGUAUCUACUACUCUAAAGGAAACCAUUUUUAUUAAAAUGAACACAUUUUUGAUAUCGUAAGUUAUUAUAUUCGGAUAACUUUGGUCGAAGAUCCCACAUCGAAAGCUGCAUCCUUCACAUAAGGAGUUUUUGUCAAGAUUGAAGCGGAAUUUCCUCUACUAACUAACUGAAGCCAAAUUGCGUUACACUUCGUAUGCAGUUUGAGAUUUCGGGGGCCCAUUUUGUUUACAGUAUGAUAUCAGAAAGCCGUGCUAGCUUUAGCAACCUACGUCAAUACGAUUGAUCAAGUGACUGCUCUCAGUUGUCAGUAAUAAAUAAGUAAUGCGGAAUAAGAAUAAAACAGAAAGUAUAUGAAACUAAACAACUUGCUUAACUGUACAAAAUUAUACAUUAUGA
Long non-coding RNA from Photinus pyralis (common eastern firefly), 546 nucleotides. RefSeq lists it as uncharacterized. Lineage: Eukaryota; Metazoa; Arthropoda; Insecta; Coleoptera; Lampyridae. The record is from RefSeq and is a predicted model, not a curated record. The transcript has 3 exons.